Papaver somniferum (opium poppy) is the source of this 2060-nucleotide long non-coding RNA. RefSeq lists it as uncharacterized. NCBI's taxonomy places the organism in Eukaryota, Viridiplantae, Streptophyta, Magnoliopsida, Ranunculales, Papaveraceae. The transcript is spliced from 8 exons. The record is from RefSeq and is a predicted model, not a curated record.
CCUUCUUCACCGAGCAAGCAGAGCAGCCACUUCUUCUUCCUCUAUUCCUUCUGCUUGAGCACCAACAUCACACCGUCUCGCUGAUAUCAGCGCCAUAAUCUACCUUCUUCUUUAUUUUAAAUCAAAUUUUCUUAUAACCCUCUUGUUUUAUCUCUACAGUAGAACCUAGAUACAGGAUUUCUAUUUCUUACCUAGGGUUUCAAUUAUAGAGAUGAGCAAGAUAUUCCUUCGAUUAAUCUACAGGAUGAUGCGGAUUAAAAACAAAGCCAUUAGAAGGUGGACCAGCUAAAAAAUUACGUAAGUUUGAAAAACCAUUGGAUUUUGUAUAUUGGUUUCUAUGAAAAGGAAAUGGAAGGGGAUCCCGUGGUCUCUACUUGACCAGCUUUGUUAUUCUGGGAGCUCAGCAUAUUAUUAUGAAUAUGGCAACCACCUUUCUGGAGGAAUCCCUUAUCCACCAAUGCAUUUGUCCGGUGGACCUUCACCAUAUUCCAGCGGAUCUGUGAUGGGACAAGGUGGGAUGUCAGGUGGGAUGUACCAAAUGCCCCCUAUAAUGAUAGUUUUGGUUUGGGUUUGCCAAUGAGUCAUGCUUCUAUGGGCUCAAGGCCAGGGAUAUUUCAAGACGAAAAUCCUCCAAGAAAGUCAGUCAGUAAGCAUUUUUAAAGUUGUUAUGACUCGACACACGACAAUAACUGGACUGGUUCGUUCUCCCAAUCAGCGAACAGCUUCUGUUUUUCUCAACUUUGGUCAUGAAAAAGCUUUUCAAUGAUAAUCUCAAGCCUUACAUUUCUGAUUUCAAGCUUGUGUUAGACCACUUCUGCAUACAUGCCGGUGGAAGAGCCGUUAUUGAUGAAUUGGAGAAGAACCUACAGUUGCUUCCUUUACAUCUGGAGGCUUCUAGAAUGACCCUUCACCGGUUUGGGAACCCCUCUUCGAGUUCCAUCUGGUAUGAAUUGGCUUACGUUGAUGCCAAAGGAAGGAUGAGGUGUAAAGCAAUCUCCUAAAGGUCCCUGGGAAGAUUGCGUUGACAGGUGGUAAAUUCGUAUCUCGACUACCUCAAUGACAUUCACCUUGAAACAAAGGAGGAAACAGAUAAGGAGGUAUCUGUUUUGCAUAAUUCAAAUUAUAUGUUAUCUCUUUGUUUUCUCUUUUUAGUGUCAUGAGUAUGAAUGAAUUAAUGGAUGAGUACAGGAUGUCCUCGUGGUUCUUUGUUAUGGAUCAAACUUAGUAAGUUUUUUUGACUCUUUCUUUAAUCAUUUUUUCUUAGCUGGCUUGCUCAAUUGUAUGAGUCACUUAAAUCGUGCUGCGAGUUUAGCUUUGUACAUAUAGUUAGUGCAGUUUGAACUUUGAUACCAUUAUUGUGUUGUUGGCUAGGUUCUUACUCUCCAGCUAUUUAGUACACACUCUCUCUUAUAUACUAGUAAAAGUUUAAGCUUGAGUGACGCUGCUGAGGACUCUUCGAACUAACAGUUCAAAGAUGACAAGCAGUAGACAUUAAAUUCUCACAUUCUCAAGGCUGGUGCGCAAUGCAUAGUUUUGUAACUGUUAGUAAUAUUAUCACCUCAAGUAUAGUUCAUUAUAUUCAACUGACAUGUUGCAUCUGCAAAUGUAUUUCCAAGGCACAUUUAACUCUGAUAACUUAGUGAUUUAUUCAAAUUGUUGUGACAUAAGAGUAAUGUGCUGACAAUACAAGCGUUUGUUUGCUUUCAGGUUCUGGUUCCGGCACUGCUUUUGCAGAACUCUAGCAAUUUCUGGUGGUGUCUAAUCAUGAUUGAUGAACAACUGAAGAAGAGGGCAUCAGACGAAACAGUAAUCAGGAUUGCUGAGGACAAGCAGAUAUUGAAUUACAUAAAGAAACAAGUGGAUUCAGGUAAUCUUAUCAGAGUCAUCUGCCCAUACUUCGCAGUUAUGAAUCAUCUGAGUUGAACUCACCAUGAACCUAUGUAUCAUUGAACAAACAUAUAUAAUGAUUUGAACAAUAUUUUCUUCCCCUUUUUUUUGUAGAAUGAAUGUUUGAAUGUGUAGUAGAGUGACUUGUAUUGAAUGGAGAAUGAAUGUUUUUU